RNAcentral lists this transfer RNA (76 nucleotides) under Camelus bactrianus (Bactrian camel). It matches the Rfam family "tRNA". From Rfam's summary of the family: Transfer RNA (tRNA) molecules are approximately 80 nucleotides in length. Their secondary structure includes four short double-helical elements and three loops (D, anti-codon, and T loops). Further hydrogen bonds mediate the characteristic L-shaped molecular structure. tRNAs have two regions of fundamental functional importance: the anti-codon, which is responsible for specific mRNA codon recognition, and the 3' end, to which the tRNAs corresponding amino acid is attached (by aminoacyl-tRNA synthetases). tRNAs cope with the degeneracy of the genetic code in two manners: having more than one tRNA (with a specific anti-codon) for a particular amino acid; and 'wobble' base-pairing, i.e. permitting non-standard base-pairing at the 3rd anti-codon position. RNAcentral also lists the same sequence under 2 other names. Lineage: Eukaryota; Metazoa; Chordata; Mammalia; Artiodactyla; Camelidae. The record is from Rfam by way of RNAcentral.
AGAGAAACAGCCCAGUGGUAGAGCACAUGCUUAUUUAGCAUGCAUGAGGUCCUGGGUUCAAUCCCCAGUACCUCCG